Molecule: ribosomal RNA, 443 nt
Filed under: uncultured bacterium
Lineage: Bacteria
Description: partial 16S ribosomal RNA
Rfam family: Bacterial small subunit ribosomal RNA
Source: RNAcentral
CCUACGUGUGGCUGCAGUGGGGAAUAUUGGUCAAUGGAGGCAACUCUGACCCAGCAACGUCGCGUGAAUGAUGACGGUCCUCGGGUUUUAAAGUUUUUUGUAUGGGGAUGUACACAGUGACGCUCCUCCCAUUGCGUGCUACCUCUAACUACGUGGCAGCAGCCGCGGUAAUACGUAGGUGGCAAUCGUUAUCCGGAAUGACUGGUUGUAAAGGGUGCGUAGGUGGGUUAGUAAGUUGGCGGUGUAAUUCCGGGGCUCAACCUCGGAGCUACCGCCAAAACUAUUAGACUAGAGUGCAGGAGAGGUAGGUGGAAUUCCUAGUGUAGCGGUGGAAUGCGUAGAUAUUAGGAAGAACAUCAAGGGCGAAGGCGACUUACUGGACUGUAACUGACACUGAGGCACGAAAGCGUGGGGAGCAAACAGGAUUAGAUACCCCGGUAGUC